RNAcentral lists this long non-coding RNA (1443 nucleotides) under Sus scrofa (pig). Its description in RNAcentral is "lncRNA (ENSSSCG00050052063.1)". Lineage: Eukaryota; Metazoa; Chordata; Mammalia; Artiodactyla; Suidae. The record is from RNAcentral.
GAUCCUGCUGUAUAGCACAGGGAACUAUAGCCAAACACGUGUGAUGGAACAUGAUGGAAGAUAAUGUGAGAAAAAAGAAUGACUAUGUAUGUGUAACUGGGUCACUUUACUGUGCAGCGGAAAUUGAUGGAACAUUGUGAAUCAACUAGAAUAAAAAAUUAAAACUUCUACUGAAGUUCUAAAUGAUACAUUGGGAAAUUUCAGGUCUCAGCUACAAGCUGUUGUUGCUACUAUUGCAGACCUUUUUAGAUACCUCCAAACAUAGUCCUCCCACAGGGUAAAAGCCAAACAAUUUCAUCUAAAGCAUAUGAAGUCCCCACACUCUGAUCACAGACACUAAAUUCAUAUGUCAAAAAACUAGACUGAAAAAGUAUCUUCUUCACUGAUCUUCUUUCUGAAUUCCUUUUUUAAAACAUCCAUCAUAGCCCAGAAACUUCUGGCCAGAAAAAAAAAAAACAAAACUGUCAUAAUGACUGAUUUCCAAACUGCUGAAAGAAGCAAUAAUCAACCCAAGAAACUAUAGAAUCCUAAUUCAGAGGAAACAUGCUGUGAGACCCAGCAUCACGAACCAUUUUUCAGCCGAUCGUUUUUCAUUGCAUGUGUUCUGGGAUUAGAGGACAGGGAAGGGGUUGUGAAUAGAAAUACUGCCUUUAUCUUGAGAAAACUUAUUAUUUCCUAUAACUCCAUGGAAAGAGUUGGUAUGAAGUCUUAGAUAACAGGAUUGUUGACAUUUAGCCAUAGUUCCACUGUGUGGUGAAGUAGAUGCCCAUAGUGAAAAAUCCACUUAACUAAUUUCCCAGAUACAAUUAAAAUCUGACGACUGCUCACUUUGAAUAUGGAGAACAUUCCUGCAUUAAUCAUGACAUAACAGUAUAUUUUAAUUCUUUUUUUUCAAACAGCAGAGACACACUGUACCUGCUUUCCCUUGUAAGUCAACAGCCUGUGACACAUUCUGUACUUUUACUGACUAGCAAUGCAGUGUUACUGUCAAUAAUUAAAUGGAACAUAAGCUAUAGUGUAUUGGAAUUUAAAAUUUUGUAAUCUUAACUUUAGUUCUCCUUGUCAAACAGAUAAGUCCAACUAGUAUUCUUUGGUAUGGAAUGAAAUAAUAAUCAUUCUUAAACGAUGACAUAAUAAGAAAUAAUGAGAUUCUGAGUAAAGUAUAACAUCAAAUCAUAUUUUCUAUUUUUCUGUAUUUGUCUUCCUUUGACAAUGAAUUGUGUUAGUUUAUCACAUAUUAAUGUAAAGUUAAAAUAAGCUCUUAACGCCCUGUUCUGUAAUGUUCUUGACACAAUUUCGGGCCUUAUGUUAAGUAAAUAUCAGUAUAUCUGUGAGUUGAUUAUGUGAUACUUUCAUCUGAUCCCUUUUAUAAAUUUGUCAUUGGAUUUAAAGUGUUAUCAUUGCAAAUGUUAUGUGCAAAAUUCAAUAAAAUACCGAAAAAAC